Molecule: ribosomal RNA, 120 nt
Filed under: uncultured bacterium
Lineage: Bacteria
Description: partial 16S ribosomal RNA
Rfam family: Bacterial small subunit ribosomal RNA
Source: RNAcentral
AUUGAACGCUGGCGGCAUGCUUUACACAUGCAAGUCGAGCGGCAGCGCGGGGGCAACCCUGGCGGCGAGCGGCGAACGGGUGAGUAAUGCAUCGGAACGUGUCCCGUAGUGGGGGAUAAC